RNAcentral lists this ribosomal RNA (525 nucleotides) under uncultured bacterium. RNAcentral's name for it is "bacterial SSU rRNA". It matches the Rfam family "Bacterial small subunit ribosomal RNA", at positions 984 to 1509 of the family's 1533-position model. The record is from RNAcentral.
ACAUCCAGAGAACUUAGCAGAGAUGCUUUGGUGCCUUCGGGAACUCUGAGACAGGUGCUGCAUGGCUGUCGUCAGCUCGUGUUGUGAAAUGUUGGGUUAAGUCCCGNAACGAGCGCAACCCUUAUCCUUUGUUGCCAGCGAUUCGGUCGGGAACUCAAAGGAGACUGCCGGUGAUAAACCGGAGGAAGGUGGGGAUGACGUCAAGUCAUCAUGGCCCUUACGGCCAGGGCUACACACGUGCUACAAUGGCGCAUACAAAGAGAAGCGACCUCGCGAGAGCAAGCGGACCUCAUAAAGUGCGUCGUAGUCCGGAUUGGAGUCUGCAACUCGACUCCAUGAAGUCGGAAUCGCUAGUAAUCGUAGAUCAGAAUGCUACGGUGAAUACGUUCCCGGGCCUUGUACACACCGCCCGUCACACCAUGGGAGUGGGUUGCAAAAGAAGUAGGUAGCUUAACCUUCGGGAGGGCGCUUACCACUUUGUGAUUCAUGACUGGGGUGAAGUCGUAACAAGGUAGGCGUAGACGU